Molecule: transfer RNA, 72 nt
Filed under: Niveomyces insectorum RCEF 264
Lineage: Eukaryota; Fungi; Ascomycota; Sordariomycetes; Hypocreales; Cordycipitaceae
Also listed under: 1 other name
Description: Sporothrix insectorum RCEF 264 tRNA
Rfam family: tRNA
About the family: Transfer RNA (tRNA) molecules are approximately 80 nucleotides in length.
Source: Rfam by way of RNAcentral
UCCGAUAUGGUGUAAUGGUUAACAUCCUACGCUUUCACCGUGGAGCUCGGGGUUCGAUUCCCCGUAUCGGAG